GUGGGUAGGGUUUGGGGGAGAGCG
RNAcentral lists this microRNA (24 nucleotides) under Homo sapiens (human). RNAcentral describes it as "hsa-miR-1229-5p". Lineage: Eukaryota; Metazoa; Chordata; Mammalia; Primates; Hominidae. The record is from miRBase by way of RNAcentral.